This 269-nucleotide ribosomal RNA is filed under the name uncultured bacterium. Its description in RNAcentral is "partial 16S ribosomal RNA". It matches the Rfam family "Bacterial small subunit ribosomal RNA", at positions 123 to 406 of the family's 1533-position model. The record is from RNAcentral.
UACCUGCCCUUUAGUGGGGGAUAACACGGCGAAAGUCGUGCUAAUACCGCAUGUGAUCGCAAGAUCAAAGCCUUCGGGCGCUAAAGGAGGGGCCUGCGUCUGAUUAGCUAGUUGGUAGGGUAAAAGCCUACCAAGGCAACGAUCAGUAGCUGGAUCGAGAGGUUGACCAGCCACACUGGGACUGAGAUACGGCCCAGACUCCUACGGGAGGCAGCAGUAAGGAAUCUUCCACAAUGGACGAAAGUCUGAUGGAGCAACACCGCGUGCAG